Long non-coding RNA from Corticium candelabrum, 851 nucleotides. RefSeq lists it as uncharacterized. The record is from RefSeq and is a predicted model, not a curated record. NCBI's taxonomy places the organism in Eukaryota, Metazoa, Porifera, Homoscleromorpha, Homosclerophorida, Plakinidae. The transcript has 3 exons.
CUAAUUUUGAAGUUUGGGACUUUGGAAAGCAGAUCUUGAGUGGCCUCUUAUACCUUCACAAACACAAGCCAUUUCCAAUAGCUCAUAUGGAUUUAAAACCGGACAACAUACUGCUGGAUGAAGGUCAGAUUCAUCCUCGAGUGAAACUUGCUGAUUUUGGUCUAUCCCUGCCUCUGAGUCAGGAUAACAUAAAGACUUACGGCGGACAUGCUCGUUGGAUGGCACCAGAAUUGUGGCUUAGCCAAACCUCAUUGCAUCAGCAGUCGAAAGAAUUAUGUCUUAAGAGUGAUGUGUUUAGUUAUGGCCUUAUCUUGCUGUUUCUAAUUACUGGAAAGACACCUUGGCAUUCUAUUACUGACCUUGAUUAUCCAACUGCCUCAAGCAGCAGCAACAGCGGCAGCUUCAGCAGCAGCAGCAGAGGCAUCAGUUAGAGUGAACCUCCAGACAAAGGAAGAUUUGAGAUUCCAGGAAAUCUUGCACCCAAACUAUUGGCAAUAAUACAACAUUGCUAUGUGGAGAAACCUAUGGAUAGAGCAAACUGUAGUCAAGUUAACAAUCCUUAUUACAAAGGUGAAAUUCUUUGCCCGGAUAUCAACAUGGCAGCAAACGCAAGCAAAAUGUCAGACAGGAAAUAUACGACUCUAAAAACCAAAACUGCGGCCAAAGAUUUAUUUAUGAAGCAGGUCCAAGGUGUAGGAAUGGCAUCCAGGUUGGGGGAAACCUCAAUAUAAAUGCGCGGUAAUAGUCUAGCUGUAUGUAACCUCUGUCGACCAAGUGCCGCACAUGCACACUGCACUAACGUUAUUAGAUAUACUAAACUAAUUAGGCAUACCAAACGCUGUCCGCGUACU